RNAcentral lists this ribosomal RNA (251 nucleotides) under uncultured bacterium. Its description in RNAcentral is "partial 16S ribosomal RNA". It matches the Rfam family "Bacterial small subunit ribosomal RNA", at positions 524 to 776 of the family's 1533-position model. The record is from RNAcentral.
UACGUAGGGGGCAAGCGUUGUCCGGAUUUAUUGGGCGUAAAGAGCGUGUAGGCGGCUUUACAGGUCCGUUGUGAAAACUCGAGGCUCAACCUCGAGACGCCGGUGGAAACCGUAAAGCUAGAGUCCGGAAGAGGAGAGUGGAAUUCCUGGUGUAGCGGUGAAAUGCGUAGAGAUCGGGAGGAACAUCAGUUGCGAAGGCGGCUCUCUGGACCAGCACUGACACUGAGACGCGAAAGCGUGGGAGCAACAGG